UGUAAUGUUCCAGAAACCAUCGCAGGUUCGACGCCAAGCUCACAACACAGAGGUGCUCGCGCGCAAGGCUCCAUAUUUUCUGCUCCCACAGCCAGCAUACUACAUGCAGGAGCAUUUCAAAAUGAGGUCUUGAGGAUUCUUCACACAAUGAGAAUCACACUGGAAGAUCACUCGUCGCAGCUAAAUGGUCUCUUCUCUAUCCUUGAGCAACACCUAUCACAAUCUACUGUUGGUGAAUGCAGUGACUUUGAGCCAUUCACUGAGCUGGAGCAGUUCUUGUAAUUUGACCAAUCACUAAGUGAUGAACAUGAAAUGAAAAAGCUGGUGAGUUGUCACUGUUAUGAUUUCUAACACUUACGUAAAGCGUUUCUAAUUUUAGCGUGUAUACACAGAAGCCCCACAAUACCUCCAUAUACAUCCCCCCAUCACAAUCACCCUUACUGAUUUGCAAUAAAGUAUUUGGUACUGGA
Long non-coding RNA from Ornithodoros turicata, 470 nucleotides. RefSeq lists it as uncharacterized. The record is from RefSeq and is a predicted model, not a curated record. The transcript has 2 exons. Lineage: Eukaryota; Metazoa; Arthropoda; Arachnida; Ixodida; Argasidae.